RNAcentral lists this ribosomal RNA (253 nucleotides) under uncultured bacterium. RNAcentral's name for it is "partial 16S ribosomal RNA". It matches the Rfam family "Bacterial small subunit ribosomal RNA", at positions 524 to 776 of the family's 1533-position model. The record is from RNAcentral.
UACGAAGGGGGCUAGCGUUGUUCGGAAUUACUGGGCGUAAAGCGCACGUAGGCGGAUAUUUAAGUGAGGGGUGAAAUCCCAGGGCUCAACCCUGGAACUGCCUCUCAUACUGGGUAUCCCGAGUUCGAGAGAGGUGAGUGGAAUUGCGAGUGUAGAGGUGAAAUUCGUAGAUAUUCGCAGGAACACCAGUGGCGAAGGCGGCUCACUGGCUCGAUACUGACGCUGAGGUGCGAAAGCGUGGGGAGCAAACAGG